This 253-nucleotide ribosomal RNA is filed under the name uncultured bacterium. Its description in RNAcentral is "partial 16S ribosomal RNA". It matches the Rfam family "Bacterial small subunit ribosomal RNA", at positions 524 to 776 of the family's 1533-position model. The record is from RNAcentral.
UACGAAGGGAGCUAGCGUUGUUCGGAAUCACUGGGCGUAAAGCGCACGUAGGCGGAUGUGUCAGUCAGGGGUGAAAUCCCGGAGCUCAACUUCGGAACUGACUUUGAUACAGCACGUCUUGAGUCCGAUAGAGGUGGGUGGAAUUCCUAGUGUAGAGGUGAAAUUCGUAGAUAUUAGGAAGAACACCGGUGGCGAAGGCGGCCCACUGGAUCGGUACUGACGCUGAGGUGCGAAAGCGUGGGGAGCGAACAGG